UACGGGGGGGGCAAGCGUUGUUCGGAAUUACUGGGCGUAAAGGGCUCGUAGGCGGCCAACUAAGUCCGACGUGAAAUCCCAAGGCUUAACCUUGGAACUGCGUCGGAUACUGGAUGGCUUGAAUUCGGGAGAGGGAUGCAGAAUUCCAGGUGUAGCGGUGAAAUACGUAGAUAUCUGGAGGAAUACCGGUGGCGAAGGCGGCAUCCUGGACCGACAUUGACGCUGAUGAGCGAAAGCUAGGGGAGCAAACGGG
Molecule: ribosomal RNA, 253 nt
Filed under: uncultured bacterium
Lineage: Bacteria
Description: partial 16S ribosomal RNA
Rfam family: Bacterial small subunit ribosomal RNA
Source: RNAcentral